This is a long non-coding RNA of Aplysia californica (California sea hare), 460 nucleotides long. RefSeq lists it as uncharacterized. The transcript has 2 exons. The record is from RefSeq and is a predicted model, not a curated record. NCBI's taxonomy places the organism in Eukaryota, Metazoa, Mollusca, Gastropoda, Aplysiida, Aplysiidae.
GAGGAGAGAAGUAGUGAGGGGGGAAAAGGGAGAAGGAGGAAGAGGGAGUUUGUCUCGAAGAAGGGGCUAUAUUGCUUCCCUCCGCCGUACCAAACUGAACGCAAGUCCCAAACGCACGCAAUACGAACUCGAAACGGACGCACGCACGGAAGGGACGGACGGACGGACGCCUGGAUUUGUAUUAUCAUCAUCAUCAUCGUCGUCGUCGUCGUUGUCAUCAUCCUCUGACAAUCUUCACCACCACACACACGCACACACACACACAAACGGUUGGUUGGAUUGUGCUGGCUGACUGGCUGUCUGGUGGGUUUUGUGUUCACUCGCAGGACUAGGCUACUUGUUUCCCCCGUUGUUGUGAUCAGCGAGAUAAAGGCUUACGCAGUGUAGGUUGUGCGCGCGGCAAUUUUGUUGAAUGGAGUGAGACAAAGAUAAUUUCACAUUUCGAGGAAUUGGAAACUUU